This 1710-nucleotide ribosomal RNA is filed under the name Salmonella enterica subsp. enterica serovar Montevideo. RNAcentral describes it as "partial 23S ribosomal RNA". It matches the Rfam family "Bacterial large subunit ribosomal RNA", at positions 1 to 1742 of the family's 2925-position model. The record is from RNAcentral. Lineage: Bacteria; Pseudomonadati; Pseudomonadota; Gammaproteobacteria; Enterobacterales; Enterobacteriaceae.
GGGUUGUGAGGUUAAGCGACUAAGCGUACACGGUGGAUGCCCUGGCAGUCAGAGGCGAUGAAGGGCGUGCUAAUCUGCGAUAAGCGCCGGUAAGGUGAUAUGAACCGUUAUAACCGGCGAUACCCGAAUGGGGAAACCCAGUGUGAUUCGUCACACUAUCAUUAACUGAAUCCAUAGGUUAAUGAGGCGAACCGGGGGAACUGAAACAUCUAAGUACCCCGAGGAAAAGAAAUCAACCGAGAUUCCCCCAGUAGCGGCGAGCGAACGGGGAGGAGCCCAGAGCCUGAAUCAGCAUGUGUGUUAGUGGAAGCGUCUGGAAAGGCGCGCGAUACAGGGUGACAGCCCCGUACACAAAAGCGCAUGUGCUGUGAGCUCGAUGAGUAGGGCGGGACACGUGGUAUCCUGUCUGAAUAUGGGGGGACCAUCCUCCAAGGCUAAAUACUCCUGACUGACCGAUAGUGAACCAGUACCGUGAGGGAAAGGCGAAAAGAACCCCGGCGAGGGGAGUGAAAAAGAACCUGAAACCGUGUACGUACAAGCAGUGGGAGCACCCUUUGGGGUGUGACUGCGUACCUUUUGUAUAAUGGGUCAGCGACUUAUAUUCUGUAGCAAGGUUAACCGUAUAGGGGAGCCGGAGGGAAACCGAGUCUUAACCGGGCGUUAAGUUGCAGGGUAUAGACCCGAAACCCGGUGAUCUAGCCAUGGGCAGGUUGAAGGUUGGGUAACACUAACUGGAGGACCGAACCGACUAAUGUUGAAAAAUUAGCGGAUGACCUGUGGCUGGGGGUGAAAGGCCAAUCAAACCGGGAGAUAGCUGGUUCUCCCCGAAAGCUAUUUAGGUAGCGCCUCGUGAACUCAUCUCCGGGGGUAGAGCACUGUUUCGGCUAGGGGGCCAUCCCGGCUUACCAACCCGAUGCAAACUGCGAAUACCGGAGAAUGUUAUCACGGGAGACACACGGCGGGUGCUAACGUCCGUCGUGAAGAGGGAAACAACCCAGACCGCCAGCUAAGGUCCCAAAGUCAUGGUUAAGUGGGAAACGAUGUGGGAAGGCCCAGACAGCCAGGAUGUUGGCUUAGAAGCAGCCAUCAUUUAAAGAAAGCGUAAUAGCUCACUGGUCGAGUCGGCCUGCGCGGAAGAUGUAACGGGGCUAAACCAUGCACCGAAGCUGCGGCAGCGACGCUGAUGCGUUGUUGGGUAGGGGAGCGUUCUGUAAGCCUGCGAAGGUGGCCUGUGAGGGUUGCUGGAGGUAUCAGAAGUGCGAAUGCUGACAUAAGUAACGAUAAAGCGGGUGAAAAGCCCGCUCGCCGGAAGACCAAGGGUUCCUGUCCAACGUUAAUCGGGGCAGGGUGAGUCGACCCCUAAGGCGAGGCCGAAAGGCGUAGUCGAUGGGAAACGGGUUAAUAUUCCCGUACUUGGUGUUACUGCGAAGGGGGGACGGAGAAGGCUAUGUUGGCCGGGCGACGGUUGUCCCGGUUUAAGCGUGUAGGUGUGUGUUCCAGGUAAAUCCGGUUCACUUUAACACUGAGGCGUGAUGACGAGGCACUACGGUGCUGAAGCAACAAAUGCCCUGCUUCCAGGAAAAGCCUCUAAGCAUCAGGUAACAUCAAAUCGUACCCCAAACCGACACAGGUGGUCAGGUAGAGAAUACCAAGGCGCUUGAGAGAACUCGGGUGAAGGAACUAGGCAAAAUGGUGCCGUAACUUCGGGAG